CGGGCAGCAGCUCAGCGGUAGAGCUUUCGCCUGCUAUCGGAAAAAACCUGGGUUCGACUCCCAGCUGCUUUG
RNAcentral lists this transfer RNA (72 nucleotides) under Toxocara canis (dog roundworm). It matches the Rfam family "tRNA". From Rfam's summary of the family: Transfer RNA (tRNA) molecules are approximately 80 nucleotides in length. Their secondary structure includes four short double-helical elements and three loops (D, anti-codon, and T loops). Further hydrogen bonds mediate the characteristic L-shaped molecular structure. tRNAs have two regions of fundamental functional importance: the anti-codon, which is responsible for specific mRNA codon recognition, and the 3' end, to which the tRNAs corresponding amino acid is attached (by aminoacyl-tRNA synthetases). tRNAs cope with the degeneracy of the genetic code in two manners: having more than one tRNA (with a specific anti-codon) for a particular amino acid; and 'wobble' base-pairing, i.e. permitting non-standard base-pairing at the 3rd anti-codon position. The record is from Rfam by way of RNAcentral. Lineage: Eukaryota; Metazoa; Nematoda; Chromadorea; Rhabditida; Toxocaridae.